RNAcentral lists this ribosomal RNA (230 nucleotides) under uncultured bacterium. RNAcentral describes it as "partial 16S ribosomal RNA". It matches the Rfam family "Bacterial small subunit ribosomal RNA", at positions 524 to 753 of the family's 1533-position model. The record is from RNAcentral.
UACGGAGGGUGCCAGCGUUAUUCGGAAUCAUUGGGUGUAAAGCGCGUGUAGGCGGCUUGGCAAGUCAGAUGUGAAAGCUCAGGGCUCAACCCUGAAAGUGCAUUUGAAACUGCUUGGCUUGAGUCCCGGAGAGGAAGGUGGAAUUCCCAGUGUAGAGGUGAAAUUCGUAGAUAUUGGGAGGAACACCGGUGGCGAAGGCGACCUUCUGGACGGAGACUGACGCUGAGACG